AUGAACGUUGCGCUCAUGCUUCGUUGGGUUUGGCAGAUCUUGCGGGGUGAUGGCGGUUUGCGGCUGCAGCUGAUUGAAUCCAAGUACUUGCAGGGCCAGCCCCUCUGGGCUUGCUCGCGCUCGACUGGGUCCCAGUUUUGGAAAUCUAUCCGUACCAUCAAGGAUGAGAUUAGGCUGGGUUUGCGGUUCUUGAUUGGCAAUGGGUCUGGGACUCAGUUUUGGUUGGACCCCUGGCUUGAUGGAGGGCCUCUCCGCAUGCGGUUUCCGAGGCUCUUUGCGAUUUGUGAUGACCCGACUGUUGUUGUAUCUUCGACUGCUUUGGAUGGGGGUGGAAUAUUACGUUUCGCCGCUCAUUCGGACCAGCCAAGGUACAAGAAUGGACAGACUUGA
This 390-nucleotide ribosomal RNA is filed under the name Triticum aestivum (bread wheat). RNAcentral describes it as "partial small subunit ribosomal RNA". The record is from RNAcentral. Lineage: Eukaryota; Viridiplantae; Streptophyta; Magnoliopsida; Poales; Poaceae.